This 220-nucleotide non-coding RNA is filed under the name Bacillus sp. (in: firmicutes). RNAcentral's name for it is "Bacillus sp. T-box sequence". It matches the Rfam family "T-box leader". From Rfam's summary of the family: Uncharged tRNA acts as the effector for transcription antitermination of genes in the T-box leader family. T-boxes are found upstream of many aminoacyl-tRNA synthetase genes and some amino acid biosynthetic genes usually in Gram-positive bacteria. The record is from RNAcentral. Lineage: Bacteria; Bacillati; Bacillota; Bacilli; Caryophanales; Bacillaceae.
CGAAUAACAUUGAAUAGGAGUAGUAGUGACUAAAAACCGUGUAAAGAGAGUUGACGGCUGGUGAAAGUCAACCGGGGAGGUCAUGAACUCGCCUAGGAGUUGCAGAUAUGAAUGAUAGUAAUGUCUGCCGUUUGCCGCGUUAAGGUAAAAUGAAGUGAGUGCAUAUGCACUAAUGUGGGUGGUACCGCGGGAAGAUACAUAUAAUCCUCUCGUCCCUGAU